UUUCUUGGUGCCUUGGACAUCUUGGUAGACAGAAACGCACAGUGCUUAGUUCUUCUAAGUACACGUUUAUGCUUUCUUACUUCCAUCUGGUGCAUUUCUGUAGUUCACCCAUGGGAAAGUAAACAUGGACACAAAUGCACUUUGGAACAUUGCAUGAACUAUCUUGAUGUGCCGUAGUUAUGGAGUCUUUGCAUGUGCUGUUCUGACCAAAGUAGUUUUUCAUCAUUGUGCUGAGCAAGUUCUUGUUUGAUUGCACUAUUGGGUCUCUUGUAGCAGUCUUGUUACGUCCUAUCUUGCCAUCACUUUGUUUGUUUCCGAAGAAGCUUCCUUUCCACUGUAUACAUCAUAGUGUUACUUAGAUUCUGCCUUCUGCAUUUUC
Molecule: long non-coding RNA, 379 nt
Filed under: Linum usitatissimum (flax)
Lineage: Eukaryota; Viridiplantae; Streptophyta; Magnoliopsida; Malpighiales; Linaceae
Description: long non-coding RNA (LUSI_LNC001354)
Source: RNAcentral